RNAcentral lists this ribosomal RNA (253 nucleotides) under uncultured bacterium. RNAcentral's name for it is "partial 16S ribosomal RNA". It matches the Rfam family "Bacterial small subunit ribosomal RNA", at positions 524 to 776 of the family's 1533-position model. The record is from RNAcentral.
UACGUAGGGUGCAAGCGUUUGUCCGGAAUUAUUGGGCGUAAGAGCGUGUAGGCGGCCCGAUUAGUCCGCUGUGAAAGUCCAGGGCUCAACCCUGGAAUGCCGGUGGAUACUGUCGGACUAGAGUCCGGAAGGGGCGAGUGGAAUUCCUGGGUGAGCGGUGAAAUGCGCAGAUAUCAGGAGGAACACCAAUGGCGAAGGCAGCUCGCUGGGACGUGACUGACGCUGAGACGCGAAAGCGUGGGGAGCAAACAGG